UCAACAUCCAUUGGGAUAAACACCCCAACAGCUAGCACUAUAAAUCAUGAAAUUGUUAUGGCUUUAUCUCGAAAGUUUUCCGCGAUAGUGCCAAACGAUACCAUAAGCCGACUUUUAUAAAAAACUUCCCUAAAUAAAAGCUUUUUGAGAGUUUGUAGAAAGUGUCAUUCGAGAUGUAUUGAGUUGAACGUCAAAGCGAUGGACAGCUGUAAUUUUCCGCGUUCUUAUACUGGUCUCGAUGGAAUUCAGCAGGUUAAGUCAAACACUUCCUGAGAAAAUAUUUACGGAAAAAUAGGCAUAACCUCUUUUCUGUAUAUAAUCUAGCAGUCUCAGAUUAUGUUUAUGUGCGGAGAUCCAUAUAUAUGAGCAAAAUUCCAAAGGAGGUCUAAUGAAACAUUAAAAAUUCUCGAGAUAUCUACAAUUCACUAAUUCGAAAUAGUGUUGUUUUAAGUUUUUGAGACGAUUUUUUGACUAUUCCAAUCAAAUGAUUGGUACUUGUUCAAUUUGAUACCCUACAAAAUUAUCGAGGUUGUUAGCAACAUUAUUAAGUCAUUUAUUCUGAUGAAUAACGUGAAGUAAUUCGUGGUUUGGCUUUCAUUGAGUGAACUGGUCGAAAAAGUGUCAGCGUCACAAAUUGGAAGAGAGAUUGACUCUGCAAGCAGCGAAGAUCAAACAGCACGAGAAGAGAUAACGGACCAGUAAACAUCAAAUCUAAUCAAGAAAACAGAAGUCUUGGAUUACAGCAUGAUUCACAAUCAGACCAAGCUGUAACCAUCCGAAUCGAGCUGGCUAAAUGCGCCUAUAGGGAAGCAAAGGCCAAGAACUUUGAGUGAAGUGAAGUGAAG
Molecule: long non-coding RNA, 845 nt
Organism: Leptinotarsa decemlineata (Colorado potato beetle)
Lineage: Eukaryota; Metazoa; Arthropoda; Insecta; Coleoptera; Chrysomelidae
Source: RefSeq, a predicted model, not a curated record